GUGGAACCCUAUUUACUAAGUUGAUCAAAUUAAAACUAAUGAACCGGUUGGUGUCUAGGGUAAGUUCGGCAGUUUGACCAGUGGUUCUUAAGUGGGAGCUACUCGCAUUGAUUUGAUCUCUGACGAGUUAAUGGCAUAUCCCCACCACUGAUCUCACUUACCUGGCCAACCUGGUGAGUUAGAUUUUGAUUAGAUCACUUGGUGAUUAGGGCUCACCCAUAUCAUUAGGUAAAUCAGUGUGACUGAUUUAGGUGCUCCUAAUGCCAGCUUUAAUUAAAUCCUUUUUAAUCUGACUUGGUGAAGUCAGUGGGAGGAUUGAAAUUGGC
This 326-nucleotide long non-coding RNA is filed under the name Elaeis guineensis (African oil palm). Its description in RNAcentral is "long non-coding RNA (EGUI_LNC080121)". The record is from RNAcentral. Lineage: Eukaryota; Viridiplantae; Streptophyta; Magnoliopsida; Arecales; Arecaceae.